Long non-coding RNA from Cyprinus carpio carpio, 4353 nucleotides. The record is from Ensembl. Lineage: Eukaryota; Metazoa; Chordata; Actinopteri; Cypriniformes; Cyprinidae.
GCCGGUAUGAGGGGAGUUGAAGCGGAGACUGAGGACGCAGCAAUACGUGGGCUAGAUUGUGAAAUUUAGGACGCAAGACUAAUGGUGUCGUUUUCAAGUUGAGUAAUUAUAUUGUUAAUGAUUUCUGUAACACUGUUGAGUUGUCUUGAGUAGGUUAGGAUUAGAUAUUUUAGCUGAGUCGCGCUUUAGCUCUUUGAUGUCAGGAGUGAUUUGAGGUUAAGGUGUGGCUUUCAGCUAAAGGACGAAUUACUUAAAUUGUAGCAGAUCUUAUAAUUAAUUCUUCGACAUUUAGCCUUUAUUUACAGUUAGAGUGAGACAUUAAAGUGGGCGAGAGAGACUGGAAAUGGGAUUGGGACAUGACCCAGGUCAGAAUCGAACUUGAGUUCCCAAUGAGCUUUUAAAUGUCGUAUGUGCGCUGCCUUGUGCGCCAGAACUGAAUCAUGAGGGUUUUAAUGGUUUUCGCGAGGAUUUGAUACGCGUGUCACCGGGGAGAUAUUUAAAUCCAGGAAGCGUUCGGUUACACAACGGAGGCCAAUCGUUCGAUGACCGUUGCAACAUUCGUUCUAACUUUUCGGAAGUGUGUGAACCCACUUUAGAACAAAUGGAAUCUGUUACGUUCCAUUGAAAGAGAUCGCGAGAGCGCUCGGUUCAGAGUUGAGCCUCACAGGGCGUCAGCCGUACGUUAGUAGACAGUCUAUAGGCAGAAUGAGGAAAAAAAAAAAAUAACCCAUUGCGAAAAUAAAGGAUGUUACGCCAGAUUUAUGUGAUGUCUGGGAUUCGAACCGCUUUCCAGCGUGACAUACGAAUCAAUCGACGAGAGAAAUCGAGAAUUCUACCAGUGAAGUAAGUUACGUUAGGUGUUGGACGUUCCUCAUUCAGAAGUUUUCGCUUAAAGGUGUUUGUCGAAAAACUCAGUAUUGCACAGAUAUCGAUUUGACGCUAUUUGUUAAAUUCGUCAGACUGAAGCGCUGAGAAUUAACACUACUGUAGCCUAUUAACACGGACAACUGAUAUAACAGUGGGCGUUACACUCGUUACAUUAAACUCAUAUCGCCUGACGUAUUUCCUUCGUGAUUUUUCUUUAGGCUACUUUGCUUGUUUUUAUUUGUAUUAUAUUUAUGCUAAUUUUCAGCGUUAUUAAAAGAGGGCAAGGAUAAUUAAAGGGAUAAUUAACCUCAAAUUAAUAUUUAGUCAUCAUUUACUCACCUUCAUGAUGUUUUAAACCUUUCAUUGAAUAUAGAAAGAAUGCGAAGUGAAUGGUGACUGACCCUCAUAUUCAGCCUCACAUUUUCUCUAUUUAUUUAUUUUUUUAUACAGAGGAUAGAAAGUCAAACAGGUUUGUAAAAAUAUGGGUGUUAUUAAAGGACAGAUUUUUCACUUUUUGAGUGAACUGUCACUUUAAGAUAAACCCUAAAACACGGAGUUUUUAGUCUACGUCUGUUUAAAAGAUGAAUAGCAGGGGCAACAGGACAUUCUGCUGUAGCCUGCGAAAGAAGGCGAAGAUCAAAAUAUUAGUUUUGGUAGCUGGAUAGUAGUGUAUAAAACAUGGUUUUGGCCAUGACACAACGCUUAUACAUCGUCUCUGAUUCCUGUGAGGCGAGAGCAUGGCAAAUUCCUCAAGACCCCACCCUGUACGGUGCGAUACUGUAUAUACGAGUUUUGUCCUCUUUUCUCCCCCCUUUAGGUGACUUGUUUACUUCUUGUCUGUGUGUCUGCUUUAUCUCACUUUUCCCUUUUCACACACAGCCUAACAUCUGGAGUGGAGACCUCCGUUUCAACAGUACGUCGUUAUGGAUUUCUUCUUACAUCUGAAUGACGUCCGACUGCUGAAGAUGAAGCUCGGCUGUGACAGUGAUUUGCCUGUUUGGCAGGUGGCUGUAGUUGUCUUGAGUGUGGGAGGGGAGGAUCUCAGAAGAAGGUCUGCUGUUGUCUCAAGGACAGCGGAGCUUCCCGUCUGUGCAGCCCCACAGUCCUGUGGGACCAAAUGCUGGACGCACAGGCGGGUUUGUGCUACAAGGUUUCAGGAAGUGAGCCUGCAGAGCUUCUGUCCACAUUUACAUCUCCAGUAACGUUACGCAGUUAGAUUCCUAGCAAUACCUUUUCGCUGCCGUAGCGAGGCGAUGAUUCGGCACUGUCAGAGACAGACUUCUAGAGUGAGUUUGCUUCUGCUGUCUACCCUGAGGGACCUGCAUAAUCUCCCUUUGAUUAAAUGGGCUGCAGGCUUUGUGCUCCUCACCGCCAUGCAGCCAAGCUAGUUCACCUCAGCAGUACAGAGUGUGAGCUGGCCCAGCUCUGUGGAAGGGUGGAGUCAGUCCAGCACGGCGUAUCUCAGAAAGCAUGGAGGGCCUCUGCAGACAGAAUGGAAUUUAUACCAUAUGUACCAGGCAUCCCAAGAAUGCAUGGCACAGAGACUUGACCAACGGAAAGAACCGCAGAAAGUGCAAUGGAAAGGAUCCUGCCACGCCCUAUUCCCACGUUUUCUUCGGAAUAUCAGGGACAGACUCUGGGAAGCCCACUGGCUGACCUGCAGCAGUUCUUCACUGGCAAGCUUUAUGUCCUUGUGUACCAGCUAAAGCUGCCAGCUGAAGAACUGUUGUGGUUGGCUCUUUCCUGGCACGUCAGCACAGAGAUGGUGAUGCAGAAGUAACAGCAUCAUUCCAGACAGUCGAUGAGGCCGUCUCAGCCAAUCCUGGAUCAGACGGAUCCCAUUUUUUUCUCUCCCUCCAGCAGCCAGCUCACGUGACCUGCCUGAGCUUGGCUGUUCGUUAUUCUCAGGCAUAAACAAAGGCUACCAUACGGGGUCCAUGCUGACUCAGCCACAUUCCUGGCCCGGUGAGGGUCCCUUGCCCUUAUUUGGGUGUGGAGCAGGACAGGAGUGGCAUUCUGUGCUCUCAACCAAGCUGACAGAGGUGGCCAUCUUGCUCUUCUGAUGUAGCAAAUGGUGGAUCUGAUGUUUAGUGGGCGGAAACAUCAAGUACUACUGAAAGUAGUGUUCUUAUAGAUGUUUCCAUGCAUUCUGGAGACAUGCCCAGGCAUUGACGUGUUUGUGUGUUGAAAGUUGCAGAGAUCCUCCAGGGAACAAAUGAUGAAAGACUGCAGAGCGUAUGUAACUUCCUCUUUCCCUUUCAAGGCCAUUCUAUGGCGUAAAUAUGAUUUUUUUUUAUUUUUUUUUGUGUGUGUUUGUUUGUUUAUGUGCUUGUGUAUGUACGCAUCUAACCUUUGUCACACACACAGAUCUGCCUAUAUACACAUCCUCAUCACGUCAACUGACCUUACACAAGCCGUAAAUUCCUCAAGGCCGACUUCUUCAGCACAGAAAACAGGAUAUGAAAAUGCAUCCCUCUAAAUCCUCCCAGCCAGAUGAAAACUGAGAAUAUUCUAGGUAUUUAGCAGACCCAGAUGCCGCGUGCUGGAAAUGUGCUCUCGGUUCCUCUCCCUCCAAACGUCUUCAAGAUCAUGCCACUCUCUCACCAAGUUCUCAUACGUCACACAGUUUUGCACAUGUAACUGUACCUUCUCUCAAGGGCUUCUUCAGGUCAUGGGCGACGAUCGCCUUCGUGAUCCGCUCUAGUCUAAUGUCAAUCUGUCCACAAGUGCAUUAAAAGAUUGUUGAGGGUCGUCGUCUCAGCUGCUCUUAAAGAAACGGCACACAUAAGAAGCUCGGCCUGUCUGUGUUGCAGGUGUACUUAGGCCGUGGAUAGUACAGUGUGCUACUGUCAGAACCUCCUGCUUUAACCCUCUUUAAAGUCAGACGGUAAGGGUUAACAGCUACAUUUAGAUUAGAUUACUAUGAAGGUCCUAAUGAACAUACUUUCAGUAUGGACAAAGUGUGACUGAAUGAUGUGAUUCUCAAAUAAAGAAGUAAAAUGGCUUUGGGGAAGACUUGCCUUGUUUAUUUUUACUUAAACGUGUGACAUAUUUUGUUGUGGUUCUAAAUUCUUUAUGAAUGUGAACAUGAUUUCUACUUCCUAGUUUUUCAUGAGUUGUAUUUUUGAAAGCUUUACAAGGUUGAGAUUCAAUUUAAUGUAGUAGGUAAUGGUUAAUCUUCUUAUGUUGGAGCCGUUUUACAGCUAGGCCUUUCAAGGCUCUUUCCCACCAUUUAAUACAGUGGUACUAAUUGAUUUCACUUCUAACUGUGAAACAAAACACUUAAAUCUAAAUAUUAUUAUUCAGGGAAAUAUUUUUCAUUGAAUCGUGCCUGUCAAAGCAUUCUUUAAAGGGACAAGCCAAAUGGCAACAUCUGUUGCACGCUACGAUCCCCCAUAAACUAACUUCUGACUAGAUAUGUCAAUGCUGUUUGUUUUUGUUUGGUUGUUUCCUCAAGAUACAAAUUAAAAAAAAUUUACAGACAUC